UAUGACCCUGGCGGCAGUGCCUAAGACAUGCAAGUCGAGCGGAUGAAGGGAGCUUGCUCCUGGAUUCAGCGGCGGACGGGUGAGUAAUGCCUAGGAAUCUGCCUGGUAGUGGGGGAUAACGUCCGGAAACGGGCGCUAAUACCGCAUACGUCCUGAGGGAGAAAGUGGGGGAUCUUCGGACCUCACGCUAUCAGAUGAGCCUAGGUCGGAUUAGCUAGUUGGUGGGGUAAAGGCCUACCAAGGCGACGAUCCGUAACUGGUCUGAGAGGAUGAUCAGUCACACUGGAACUGAGACACGGUCCAGACUCCUACGGGAGGCAGCAGUGGGGAAUAUUGGACAAUGGGCGAAAGCCUGAUCCAGCCAUGCCGCGUGUGUGAAGAAGGUCUUCGGAUUGUAAAGCACUUUAAGUUGGGAGGAAGGGCAGUAAGUUAAUACCUUGCUGUUUUGACGUUACCAACAGAAUAGCACCGGCUAACUUCUGCCACAGCCGCGGUAAUACCAAGGUGCAAGCGUUAAUCGAAUUACUGGCCUAAG
RNAcentral lists this ribosomal RNA (535 nucleotides) under Pseudomonas sp. PCP2.1. RNAcentral describes it as "bacterial SSU rRNA". It matches the Rfam family "Bacterial small subunit ribosomal RNA", at positions 29 to 563 of the family's 1533-position model. The record is from RNAcentral. Lineage: Bacteria; Pseudomonadati; Pseudomonadota; Gammaproteobacteria; Pseudomonadales; Pseudomonadaceae.